RNAcentral lists this ribosomal RNA (462 nucleotides) under uncultured soil bacterium. Its description in RNAcentral is "bacterial SSU rRNA". It matches the Rfam family "Bacterial small subunit ribosomal RNA", at positions 26 to 518 of the family's 1533-position model. The record is from RNAcentral.
AGAUUGAACGCUGGCGGCAUGCCUUACACAUGCAAGUCGAACGGUAGAGUAGCAAUACUUGAGAGUGGCGAACGGGUGAGUAAUAUAUCGGAACGUGCCCAGUCGUGGGGGAUAACGUAGAGAAAUUUACGCUAAUACCGCAUACGAUCUAAGGAUGAAAGCGGGGGACCGUAAGGCCUCGCGCGAUUGGAGCGGCUGAUAUCAGAUUAGCUUGUUGGUGAGGUAAGAGCUCACCAAGGCGACGAUCCUUAGCUGGUCUGAGAGGAUGAUCAGCCACACUGGGACUGAGACACGGCCCAGACUCCUACGGGAGGCAGCAGUGGGGAAUAUUGGACAAUGGGCGAAAGCCUGAUCCAGCAAUGCCGCGUGAGUGAUGAAGGCCUUAGGUUGUAAAGCUCUUUUACCCGGAUGAUAAUGACAGUACCGGAGAAUAAGCUCCGCUAACUCCGUGCCAGCAGCCGC